GAGUUUGAUCGUGGCUCAGGAUGAACGCUGGCGGCGUGCCUAAUACAUGCAAGUCGAGCGAACGGACGAGAAGCUUGCUUCUCUGAUGUUAGCGGCGGACGGGUGAGUAACACGUGGAUAACCUACCUAUAAGACUGGGAUAACUUCGGGAAACCGGAGCUAAUACCGGAUAAUAUUUUGAACCGCAUGGUUCAAAAGUGAAAGACGGUCUUGCUGUCACUUAUAGAUGGAUCCGCGCUGCAUUAGCUAGUUGGUAAGGUAACGGCUUACCAAGGCAACGAUGCAUAGCCGACCUGAGAGGGUGAUCGGCCACACUGGAACUGAGACACGGUCCAGACUCCUACGGGAGGCAGCAGUAGGGAAUCUUCCGCAAUGGGCGAAAGCCUGACGGAGCAACGCCGCGUGAGUGAUGAAGGUCUUCGGAUCGUAAAACUCUGUUAUUAGGGAAGAACAUAUGUGUAAGUAACUGUGCACAUCUUGACGGUACCUAAUCAGAAGGCCACGGCUAACUACGUCG
RNAcentral lists this ribosomal RNA (517 nucleotides) under uncultured microorganism. RNAcentral describes it as "bacterial SSU rRNA". It matches the Rfam family "Bacterial small subunit ribosomal RNA", at positions 9 to 508 of the family's 1533-position model. The record is from RNAcentral.